GAUGAAGAACGCAGCGAAAUGCGAUACGUAAUGUGAAUUGCAGAAUUCAGUGAAUCAUCGAAUCUUUGAACGCAUAUUGCGCUCUCUGGUAUUCCGGAGAGCAUGCUUGUUCGAGUAUCAGUAAACACCUCAACUUCCAUAUCUUUUUUGAAAUGGGAGUUGGACUUGAGUGAUCCCAACGCUUUUCCUCACCGAAAAGUGGCGGGUUACUUGAAAUGCAGGUGCAGCUGGACUUUUCUCUGAGCUAUAAGCAUAUCUAUUUAGUCUGCCUAAAAAACAGAUUAUUACCUUUGCUGCAGCUAACAUAAAGGAGAUUAGUUCUUGUGCUGACUGAUGCAGGAUUCACAAAGACAGGCUUCGGCCGACUUUGUAAACUCGAUCUCAAAUCAAGUAAGACUACCCGCUGAACUUAAGCAUAUCAAUAAGCGGAGGA
RNAcentral lists this unclassified non-coding RNA (433 nucleotides) under soil metagenome. RNAcentral's name for it is "partial contains 5.8S ribosomal RNA, internal transcribed spacer 2, and large subunit ribosomal RNA". The stretch from base 1 to 120 matches the Rfam family "5.8S ribosomal RNA", at positions 35 to 154 of the family's 154-position model. The record is from RNAcentral.